AACGAACAACUUCUCAUAUAACUUAAAAAGCUCACCUCCCUCACCCACUCCCACUUUAUCUCUUCUUUUUUCCCUCCUUUCCUUUCAUCCUCUCUCUUUCUUUUUGGAUGUGGUAUUCAUUGGCCUCCAGAUUUGAACAAUGAGCAGCAACAGAGGAGAACAAAGCCACAGCUGCUUACUCCAGCAAUGAAAAGGCCACUGGAACAGGACUGACUCGGGAUCAGCCUAGGGCUCCAACACUGACUGAGCAAGUUCAAGGCUAAAGGAAUGUCCAAUCUGCCAAUUGGCUUUCGCUGUAAGUUGAGUCAACAGGUUUCCUCUUCUUUUCCAAAUACAGGGAGAGAUCUGUGGCAGUCGAUCGCACCUUAUGGACUCGACCGAAGAUUGCUGGAGCGUUCCUUUAAUGAAGAAAAACUGACCCUGGAUCAGCUCAUUUGGGCCUUCUGGAACCCUCCCUAAGGAGAGCUUGAGUACGCCACUUCAGCAACCCAACAUGCAGCUUUUCUUCCUCUCCACAGCUGCCUACGGCCUAGCUGGACAAAAUGCUCCUGUCAAAGCUAAUCACAGGAAUGAGGAAUGAGGAAACUAUUUCUACUCCCAACAAGAAAGAGUUCUCUCUAACGCUUGAAGGAGGAGAGUUCAAUUUGAGUGUUCAUGGAAGUGUUGCCUGGCUAUUUCAGUGGAACUACAGUUGGGACAGUAAGUAAAAUGUCAAUAUAAACAAUAUUUGACCUGUAUUGAAUUGAAAACAGUACAGAAACAAAAGGCUAAAUAUGAUGCUUGCAACACAUCUAAAAGGCAGCAUAUGUGCUCCAAAAUGUGUUCAGUGUUAAUGAUUCAUGACAACAUCAUCAAAGAUGACGCCUUCUGAACUUUAUGCUGGUAACAAUCUGGAUAGUGCUUUUCUUCUUUGGCCCAGAGAACACCAAGUCCACUAGUUUCAUAAGUCUGCAAAGACUCGUCAGAUCGCAAUACGUUUUUCUACAGUGCAUCAGUCCAUUUCAGACGAGCUAUGGCCCAGGGAAACUGUCGGCGUUUCUGGACACUGUUGACAUGUGACUUCCACUGUGCCUAGUACAGUCUAUUUCAAAUGGGCUUGAGCCCAGAGAAGUCGGCAGCAUUUCUGGACACCGUUGACGUGACUUCCACUGUGCAGAGUACACUCUACUACGGAUGUUUAUUAUCAAGGAUUUCCUGAGCCCAUGUGAUGAUGUCAAUCACAAAAGCAUGCUGGUUUUUAAUGCAGUGCCCUUUCACAAGGUCACAAGCAUUCAGCUGCACUUUUAGGCCCUGCUUUUAACACACAGAAUUCCCUGAAUCUUUUGAUAAUAUUACCAAGGUAGAGAGUCAAACACAUAAAAUCCUUGCAAAUGCUGAUUGUGGAACAUUGUUCUUAAACAGUCCAUUUUUGACUAAGUAGUGAGCCUCAGUCAACCCCACAUCAUCUGUUUGAAAAUGUCUUAAAUUGUCUUAUCCCAACUUUUUUGCAAUGUGUUGCAGGCAUCGAUUUCGGAAUGAGCUUUCAUUGCCCUCAUUUAUACACAUUUAUAAUUCCGAACUGAUGUCAUUUCUAUGAGAAUGUUUUUUUUCUUAUGAGCUCCAAAAUUUUGGGAGGAUCAGAAAUAACAUUUAUGACAGUAUAACAUUUUUGUUAGUGUACCUCUGAAUUAGUGUUGUCAUUAGGACAUAUUAGUAACUCCACAUCUAAGCUGUUUUUUCUAUGGCAAAAAUAAAUGUGGUAAACAAAAUGGU
Molecule: long non-coding RNA, 1752 nt
Organism: Pygocentrus nattereri (red-bellied piranha)
Lineage: Eukaryota; Metazoa; Chordata; Actinopteri; Characiformes; Serrasalmidae
Exons: 2
Source: RefSeq, a predicted model, not a curated record